CCUACGGGAGACAGCAGUGGGGAAUAUUGGACAAUGGGGGAAACCCUGAUCCAGCGACGCCGCGUGAGUGAAGAAGUAUUUCGGUACGUAAAGCUCUAUCAGCAGGAAAGAAAAUGACGGUACUUGACUAAGAAGCCCCGGCUAACGACGUGCCAGCAGCCGCGGUAAUACGUAGGGGGCAAGCGUUAUCCGGAUUUAUUGGGUGCAAAGGGAGCGUAGACGGCAGCGCAAGUCUGGAGUGAAAUGCCGGGGCCCAACCCCGGAUCUGCUCUGGAAACUGUGAAGCUGGAGUGCAGGAGAGGUAAGCGGAAUUCCUGGUGUAGCGGUGAAAUGCGUAGAUAUCAGGAGGAACACCGGCGGCGAAGGCAGCAUACCGGCGCCCAACUGACGCUGAAGCACGAAAGCGUGGGUAGCGAACAGGAUUAGAUACCCUAGUAGUC
This 440-nucleotide ribosomal RNA is filed under the name uncultured bacterium. RNAcentral describes it as "partial 16S ribosomal RNA". It matches the Rfam family "Bacterial small subunit ribosomal RNA", at positions 338 to 795 of the family's 1533-position model. The record is from RNAcentral.